AUUGCUUCUCAGCCUUUUGGCUAAGAUUUAAGUGUAGUAUCUGUUCUUACCAGUUUAAUAAAAACACCAAAACCUCAUUAGUGUCUCCCUACGUCAGUGUUUUAUAGGGGACUCGCACAUUAGAAGUGAGAUAUUCAGCAAAGCAUUCUCUUUGGGUGGAAUUUUU
Molecule: small nuclear RNA, 166 nt
Organism: Ailuropoda melanoleuca (giant panda)
Lineage: Eukaryota; Metazoa; Chordata; Mammalia; Carnivora; Ursidae
Gene: U2
Rfam family: U2 spliceosomal RNA
About the family: U2 is a small nuclear RNA (snRNA) component of the spliceosome (involved in pre-mRNA splicing). Complementary binding between U2 snRNA (in an area lying towards the 5' end but 3' to hairpin I) and the branchpoint sequence (BPS) of the intron results the bulging out of an unpaired adenosine, on the BPS, which initiates a nucleophilic attack at the intronic 5' splice site, thus starting the first of two transesterification reactions that mediate splicing.
Source: Ensembl